AAACCCCCUACGCAUUUAUAUAGAGGAGAUAAGUCGUAACAUGGUAAGUGUACUGGAAAGUGCACUUGGACGAAC
This 75-nucleotide ribosomal RNA is filed under the name Pan paniscus (pygmy chimpanzee). RNAcentral's name for it is "partial 12S rRNA". The record is from RNAcentral. Lineage: Eukaryota; Metazoa; Chordata; Mammalia; Primates; Hominidae.